GACUUUGAAAAGAGAGUCAA
RNAcentral lists this small nuclear RNA (20 nucleotides) under Arabidopsis thaliana (thale cress). Its description in RNAcentral is "snRNA_13506". The record is from RNAcentral. Lineage: Eukaryota; Viridiplantae; Streptophyta; Magnoliopsida; Brassicales; Brassicaceae.